UAGGGAAUCUUCCGCAAUGGGCGAAAGCCUGACGGAGCAACGCCGCGUGAGUGAUGAAGGUCUUCGGAUCGUAAAACUCUGUUAUUAGGGAAGAACAAAUGUGUAAGUAACUAUGCACGUCUUGACGGUACCUAAUCAGAAAGCCACGGCUAACUACGUGCUAGCAGCCGCGGUAAUACGUAGGUGGCAAGCGUUAUCCGGAAUUAUUGGGCGUAAAGCGCGCGUAGGCGGUUUUUUAAGUCUGAUGUGAAAGCCCACGGCUCAACCGUGGAGGGUCAUUGGAAACUGGAAAACUGGAGUGCAGAAGAGGAAAGUGGAAUUCCAUGUGUAGCGGUGAAAUGCGCAGAGAUAUGGAGGACCACCAGUGGCGAAGGCGACUUUCUGGUCUGUAACUGACGCUGAUGUGCGAAAGCGUGGGGAUCAAACAGG
RNAcentral lists this ribosomal RNA (429 nucleotides) under Actinomycetes bacterium. Its description in RNAcentral is "Actinobacteria bacterium partial 16S ribosomal RNA". It matches the Rfam family "Bacterial small subunit ribosomal RNA", at positions 355 to 776 of the family's 1533-position model. The record is from RNAcentral. Lineage: Bacteria; Bacillati; Actinomycetota; Actinomycetes.